Astatotilapia calliptera (eastern happy) is the source of this 590-nucleotide long non-coding RNA. The record is from Ensembl. NCBI's taxonomy places the organism in Eukaryota, Metazoa, Chordata, Actinopteri, Cichliformes, Cichlidae.
AAAAACAUAUACAUACAUAUAUAUAUAUAUCUAUCUUACUAUUAAAAAAGUAAUAAAUUAGGGUCCCUUUACAAUGUCAGAAGGAGGGAGGCACUAAGGCACCGCCUUCCGCCCCUCGACGCCCUCGCGGUGCCACCUCCUUCUGACAGGAACUUCCUACAGACCAGGUAUGAAUGAUGCCUGACUGGACAUACAAAACUCACAAGUUCCUGGCUCUCACGGCUCCUCUGAAGAGGGUUAGUCCAAGAAGGAGGGGCAUCGCGAGGGGCGUCGAGGGACGGGGGACUGUGCCUCACUGCCCUCGCCUUCUUCUAGAAACCCGUCUUCAACCGAGUCGAGAGAGCCGGGAACUUGUGAGGUGUGCAUGUCCUGGUGAGCCUCCACCUUUUAUAGGUGGGUGCAGCCUCGACUGUACAGAGACAGACCAGACCAGCUGCACCACACAGACACUUCAAACCUCAUCUGAGGACAAAAAACAUAUACAUACAUAUAUAUAUAUAUAUAUCUUAGUAUUAAAAAAGUAAUAAAGUUAGGGUCCCUUUACAAUGUCAGAAGGAGAGAGGCACUAAGGCACCGCCUUCCGCCCCUCG